CCUACGGGUGGCAGCAGUCGAGAAUCAUUCACAAUGGGGGAAACCCUGAUGGUGCGACGCCGCGUGGGGGAAUGAAGGUCUUCGGAUUGUAAACCCCUGUCAUGUGGGAGCAAAUUAAAAAGAUAGUACCACAAGAGGAAGAGACGGCUAACUCUGUGCCAGCAGCCGCGGUAAUACAGAGGUCUCAAGCGUUGUUAGGAAUCACUGGGCGUAAGGCGUGCGUAGGCUGUUUCGUAAGUCGUGUGUGAAAGGCGCGGGCUCAACCCGCGGACGGCACAUGAUACUGCGAGACUAGAGUAAUGGAGGGGGAACCGGAAUUCUCGGUGUAGCAGUGAAAUGCGUAGAUAUCGAGAGGAACACUCGUGGCGAAGGCGGGUUCCUGGACAUUAACUGACGCUGAGGCACGAAGGCCAGGGGAGCGAAAGGGAUUAGAUACCCGAGUAGUC
Molecule: ribosomal RNA, 446 nt
Filed under: uncultured bacterium
Lineage: Bacteria
Description: partial 16S ribosomal RNA
Rfam family: Bacterial small subunit ribosomal RNA
Source: RNAcentral